Molecule: ribosomal RNA, 107 nt
Filed under: Mauremys japonica (Japanese pond turtle)
Lineage: Eukaryota; Metazoa; Chordata; Testudines; Geoemydidae
Description: partial 16S ribosomal RNA
Source: RNAcentral
GCAAUUAAAUCUAGCCCAACAACAGACAAUUAAUCCCACCAAACAAUAAUUACACUACCAAAAACUUAACUAAAACAUUCUACUAUCUAAGUAUAGGUGAUAGAAAA